RNAcentral lists this unclassified non-coding RNA (77 nucleotides) under Clostridium collagenovorans DSM 3089. Lineage: Bacteria; Bacillati; Bacillota; Clostridia; Eubacteriales; Clostridiaceae. The record is from RNAcentral.
AACCACCGUGUACCGAACGGUACGCACGGUGGCGUGAGAGGUCGGUACAUAAAAUAAUUAUAUACCUCCUACUUGAU